GUGGAUUAGAUACCCUGGUAGUCCACGCCGUAAACGAUGGGCACUAGGUGUGGGGGGUGUCGACUCCCUCCGUGCCGACGCUAACGCAUUAAGUGCCCCGCCUGGGGAGUACGGCCGCAAGGCUAAAACUCAAAGGAAUUGACGGGGGCCCGCACAAGCAGCGGAGCAUGUGGUUUAAUUCGACGCAACGCGAAGAACCUUACCUGGGCUUGACAUGUUCCUGACCGCCGUGGAAACACGGUUUCCCUUCGGGGCAGGAUCACAGGUGGUGCACGGCUGUCGCCAGCU
This 288-nucleotide ribosomal RNA is filed under the name uncultured bacterium. Its description in RNAcentral is "partial 16S ribosomal RNA". It matches the Rfam family "Bacterial small subunit ribosomal RNA", at positions 773 to 1060 of the family's 1533-position model. The record is from RNAcentral.